GGGCGUUUAGCGCAGUGGUAGCGCGUAUGCUUUGCAUUCGGAAAUGCAUUACGGGAUAUUCCGUAAAACCUGUAUAAAGUCCAGGGUUCAAUCCCCUGAACGUCCA
This 106-nucleotide transfer RNA is filed under the name Hygrophoropsis aurantiaca. Its description in RNAcentral is "tRNA-Ala". It matches the Rfam family "tRNA". Rfam says of the family: Transfer RNA (tRNA) molecules are approximately 80 nucleotides in length. The record is from RNAcentral. Lineage: Eukaryota; Fungi; Basidiomycota; Agaricomycetes; Boletales; Hygrophoropsidaceae.